UACGUAGGGGGCAAGCGUUGUCCGGAAUCAUUGGGCGUAAAGCGCGUGUAGGCGGCUCGAUAAGUCUGCUGUGAAAGUUCAGGGCUCAACCCUGAAAUGCCGGUGGAAACUGUCGAGCUAGAGUCCGGAAGAGGCGAGUGGAAUUCCUGGUGUAGCGGUGAAAUGCGCAGAUAUCAGGAGGAACACCAAUGGCGAAGGCAGCUCGCUGGGACGGUACUGACGCUGAGGUGCGAAAGCGUGGGGAGCAAACAGG
Molecule: ribosomal RNA, 253 nt
Filed under: uncultured bacterium
Lineage: Bacteria
Description: partial 16S ribosomal RNA
Rfam family: Bacterial small subunit ribosomal RNA
Source: RNAcentral